GCAGCCUGAUGGAGCGACACCGCGUGAGUGAAGAAGGGUUUCGGCUCGUAAAGCUCUGCUGUUGAAGAAGAACGUGCGUGAGAGUAACUGUUCAUGCAGUGACGGUAUUCAACCAGAAAGUCACGGCUAACUACGUGCCAGCAGCCGCGGUAAUACGUAGGUGGCAAGCGUUAUCCGGAUUUAUUGGGCGUAAAGCGAGCGCAGGCGGUUUUCUAAGUCUGAUGUGAAAGCCUUCGGCUUAACCGAAGAAGGGCAUCGGAAACUGGAUGACUUGAGUGCAGAAGAGGGCAGUGGAACUCCAUGUGUAGCGGUGAAAUC
This 318-nucleotide ribosomal RNA is filed under the name uncultured Lactobacillus sp. RNAcentral describes it as "bacterial SSU rRNA". It matches the Rfam family "Bacterial small subunit ribosomal RNA", at positions 378 to 688 of the family's 1533-position model. The record is from RNAcentral. Lineage: Bacteria; Bacillati; Bacillota; Bacilli; Lactobacillales; Lactobacillaceae.